This 1370-nucleotide ribosomal RNA is filed under the name uncultured bacterium. Its description in RNAcentral is "16S ribosomal RNA". It matches the Rfam family "Bacterial small subunit ribosomal RNA". The record is from RNAcentral.
UUCGCCCUUAGAGUUUGAUCCUGGCUCAGGACGAACGCUGGCGGCGCGCCUAACACAUGCAAGUCGAACGGAGCUGAGAGAAGCUUGCUUUUCUUAGCUUAGUGGCGAACGGGUGAGUAACGCGUGAGUAACCUGCCCUGGAGUGGGGGACAACAGUUGGAAACGACUGCUAAUACCGCAUAAGCCCACGAUCCGGCAUCGGAUUGAGGGAAAAGGAUUUAUUCGCUUCAGGAUGGACUCGCGUCCAAUUAGCUAGUUGGUGAGGUAACGGCCCACCAAGGCGACGAUUGGUAGCCGGACUGAGAGGUUGAACGGCCACAUUGGGACUGAGACACGGCCCAGACUCCUACGGGAGGCAGCAGUGGGGGAUAUUGCACAAUGGGGGAAACCCUGAUGCAGCGACGCCGCGUGGAGGAAGAAGGUUUUCGGAUUGUAAACUCCUGUCGUUAGGGACGAUAAUGACGGUACCUAACAAGAAAGCACCGGCUAACUACGUGCCAGCAGCCGCGGUAAAACGUAGGGUGCAAGCGUUGUCCGGAAUUACUGGGUGUAAAGGGAGCGCAGGCGGACCGGCAAGUUGGAAGUGAAAACUAUGGGCUCAACCCAUAAAUUGCUUUCAAAACUGCUGGCCUUGAGUAGUGCAGAGGUAGGUGGAAUUCCCGGUGUAGCGGUGGAAUGCGUAGAUAUCGGGAGGAACACCAGUGGCGAAGGCGACCUACUGGGCACCAACUGACGCUGAGGCUCGAAAGCAUGGGUAGCAAACAGGAUUAGGUACCCUGGUAGUCCAUGCCGUAAACGAUGAUUACUAGGUGUUGGAGGAUUACCCCCUUCAGCCCCGCAGGUAAACACAAAAAAUAAUCCCCUUGGGGGAGUAGGACCGCAAGGUUGAAACUCAAAGAAAUUGCCGGGGCCCCGCACAAGCAGUGGAGUUUGUGGUUUUAAUUGAAAGCAACGCGAAGACCCUUACCAGGUCUUGACAUCCGAUGCAUAGUGCAGAGAUGCAUGAAGUCCUUAGGGACAUCGAGACAGGUGGUGCAUGGUUGUCGUCAGCUCGUGUCGUGAGAUGUUGGAUUAAGUCCCGCAACGAGCGCAACCCUUAUUGCCAGUUACUACGUAAGAGGACUCUGGCGAGACUGCCGUUGACAAAACGGAGGAAGGUGGGGAUGACGUCAAAUCAUCAUGCCCUUUAUGACCUGGGCUACACACGUACUACAAUGGCGUUUAACAAAGAGAAGCAAGACCGCGAGGUGGAGCAAAACUCAAAAACAACGUCUCAGUUCAGAUUGCAGGCUGCAACUCGCCUGCAUGAAGUCGGAAUUGCUAGUAAUCGCGGAUCAGCAUGCCGCGGUGAAUACGUUCCCGGGCCUUGU